GAUGAGCAUGCGUCCCAUUAGCUAGUUGGUAAGGUAACGGCUUACCAAGGCUACGAUGGGUAGGGGUCCUGAGAGGGAGAUCCCCCACACUGGAACUGAGACACGGUCCAGACUCCUACGGGAGGCAGCAGUGGGGAAUCUUGCGCAAUGGGCGAAAGCCUGACGCAGCGACGCCGCGUGAGUGAUGAAGGCCCUCGGGUUGUAAAGCUCUGUGGAGGGGGACGAAUAAGUCGGAACGAAUAGCUCCGAUGAUGACGGUACCCCUUUAGCAAGCACCGGCUAACUCUGUGCCAGCAGCCGCGGUAAGACAGAGGGUGCAAACGUUGUUCGGAAUUACUGGGCGUAAAGCGCGUGUAGGCUGCUCGGAAAGUCGGAUGUGAAAGCCCUGGGCUCAACCCAGGAAGUGCAUUCGAAACUUCUGAGCUCGAGUGUCGGAGAGGAAGGCGGAAUUCUCGGUGUAGAGGUGAAAUUCGUAGAUAUCGAGAGGAACACCUGUGGCGAAGGCGGCCUUCUGGACGACAACUGACGCUGAGACGCGAAAGCGUGGGGAGCAAACAGGAUUAGAUACCCUGGUAGUCCACGCCGUAAGCGAUGGGUGCUAGGUGUCGCGGGAUUUGACCCCUGCGGUGCCGUAGCUAACGCAUUAAGUGUCCCGCCUGGGGAGUACGGC
Molecule: ribosomal RNA, 670 nt
Filed under: uncultured bacterium
Lineage: Bacteria
Description: bacterial SSU rRNA
Rfam family: Bacterial small subunit ribosomal RNA
Source: RNAcentral